UCCCUACCAUCUCUUGGGACCAGAAGGAGCAAACGUCUGGCUUUUUCUUUCCUCCACAUCUUGUCUUUGUUCAUUAAGAAUACCACUCCUGGCUUAACAUCACCUUUCUGGUAUUCUUCCCCAAAAUAUAUACAUUUAACCUUAUUGUGAGAAAAUGUUGGAUAAACUCAGAUUGAGGGACCUUCUCUACCGUAUUUGCUUUAAAACUAUAGAGAUCACGGGACUUCCCUGGCAGCCCAGUGGUUAAGGCUGAGCGCUACCAAUGCAGGGCUUGGGAGUUUGCUUCUUGGUUGAGGAACUAAAAUCCCACAUGGCACAUGGCUUGGUCCAAAACAAACAGCAAAGAAAACUGUAGGGAUCAUGAAAGACAAGGAAAGACUAAGAUAUAUAUAAUCAUAGCCUAGAGGAGACUCAUGCACUAGAUUCAGGGUGAUGUCAUGAAUUGGAAGAAAGAGAAAAUUAGUAGAAAACCAGGAAGUCCAAAUCAAGUCUGGCACCAAUGUCCAUUUCUUAGUUUUAGUCAUUAUGUAUGGCUGGGGAAGGGUACAGGAGACCUCUUGGUACCAUGCUUGCAGCUCUUCUGUAAAUAUGCAGUCACUUCCAAAAAAUAAAUAAGUAAAUAAACAAUGAAGGGAAAACUUCACAGUCUAAGUAACUGGUAGAAUACAGAUCAUUUCUACUCUAUGGAAAAUUCUUAUGCUCUGCAUUCACCUGUUUCUUGAUAGGAUGAAAUGGGAAAAGAUGGGACUGGUAGGAAAUCUUCGCUUAACAAAGCCUGGCUUUCAAGUCUUGUCUUUUGCAGGAUAAAACAUUUUAUUGUGGAUGUUGUAUGCUGAGCACUGGGAUUCCCUGGAGGCUCAGUAGUAAAGAAUCCACCUGCCAAUGCCGAAGAUGCAGGUUCAGUCCCUGGGUCUGGAAGAUCCCCUAGAGAAGGAAAUGACAACCCACUCUAGUUUUCUUGCCUGGGAAAUCCCAUGGACAGUGGAGCCUGGCGGGCUGCUGUCCAUGUGGUCCCGAAAGAGUCAGACACAAUUUUGUGACUAAAUGACAACUGUCUGAACAUUAACUAUUUCCCGUUGUCUUUACAAUCUUGCUGUAACAACAGGAAAAAAUCACCGUCACCUGAAAGUGGGCUUCCUCGGACAGUGAAGAAGGUCAUGAACAUAGAAGUUUGAGUGAAAAAGUUGACUUAAAGCUCAACAUUCAGAAAACUAAGACCAUGGCAUCCAGUCCCAUCACUUCGUGGCAAGUAGAUGGGGAAACAGUGGAAACAGUGGCUGACUUUAUUUUGGGGGGCUCCAGAAUCACUGCAGAUGGUGACUUCAGCCAUGAAAUUAAAAGACGCUUACUCCUUGGAAGGAAAAUUAUGACCCACCUAGGCAGCAUAUUAAAAGGCAGAGUCAUUACUUUGCCAACAAGGUCUUUCUAGUCAAAGCUAUGGUUUUUCCCAUAGUCAUGGAUGUAUGUGAGAGUUGGACUGUAAAGAAAGCUGAGCACAGAAGAAUUUAUGCUUUUGAACUGUGGUGUUGGAGAAGACUCUUGAAAGUCCCUUGGACUGCAAGGAGAUCCAACCAGUCCAUCUUAAAGGAAAUCAGUCCUGGGUGUUCAUUGGAAGGACUGAUGUUGAAGAUGAAACUCCAAUACUUUGGCCACCUUAUGCGAAGAGUUGACUCAUUUGAAAAGACCCUGAUGCUGGGAAAGAUUGAAGGCAGGAGGAGAAGGGGACGACAGAGGAUGAGAUGGUUGGAUGGCAUCACCGACUCAAUGGACAUGGGUUUGGGUAAACUCCAGGAGUUGGUGAUGGACAGGGAGGCCUGGCGUGCUGUGGUUCAUGGGGUUGCAAAGAGUCAGACACGACUGAGUGACUAAACUGAGCUGAGCAUGCUAUUUUAAUAUGAAAAGCAAUGGUAUUUAUCUUUUUUUAAAUAAUAAUUUUAUUAAUAUGCCCCUAUUUGUCCUUUGAAAAUUUGAUAACUUUGUAUACUAGUAAUUCUCUAACAGGUAAUUGAUUUUAAAAAAUGGAAAUAGAUAAGAUAGUUUUUAUUAAAUAAAAGCAAGAAGUAGCCAUAUAAAAUACUUGCUUAAUUAAUAAGUAGGCCAUAAAUAUCCUAAUGAGUUAUUUCCUGGUGAGAAAUAAGAAUUGCCCUGGCUCAGGAUUAUAUUUUCUUGGAAUAUCAUCAAAGCCAAAAGUAAUAACUAUUCUAACUUUGCAUCUUAAGGAGUAGUUUUUAACAUUCCUGCAUAGAUAAGAUAGCUCCUGGAAUCUUCCCAGUGCCCAACUAUUUCUUUGAUGACUCAAUAUACCAUUUGAUUUAUUAAUAUGAAUGUUAAAUGACACAUUUAUUAAAUGCUUAUUUGGUAUUUAGAUAUUGUUGACUACUGAGCAUACCAGAGGGUGUGAGGUCUGGCCCCUGACCCAAAGGAACUACAAUAUUUUGGGGGAACAAGUAACAUGAAACAAAUGGAAAAAAAAAUUGUAUGAAUAUAAUCCAAACAUCAAUUGACUGAAGAGAUAAAAGCCAAGGUAUUUGUAUAAAGCAAAUGAUAAAUAUGGGCUGAAAAGGUGCAGCUUGUCCUGCUUUGGAAAGAUGAGUGGGAAUCGGCCUGAGAAAGUAUGGGAAAACAUUUCAGUUGGGGAGAUGAAGGGCUAAAGUCCAUUGGCUGAAUUUAUUAGUUGUGGUUGUGUUUACCACCGUUCCUCAAAGUCUGGGGCACCCAGGGCAAUAAAACUAUCUGGCCCUCUGGCUGGAAGGGGCAAUACUGAGAUAGGUGAUGAGGUAGGAUGCCCCACGGAGUGGUCUUCAUGGCUUCGCUGACGUCCACAUCCAGGUUAACUCUCACUUCUCUGAGAACCUUCUCUACUCAAGCCCUGAACGCUGGGCUUCCCCAAAUUCCUUCCAGCUUCUUUUCUGACCCAAUUUCCAAUUUUCAUCCCCUGGAUGAAAGUAGAGGGUUCUAAACUAUCCACUCCUAUGGUUUAAAGCAUCUACCCAGGUCCUUGGAGAAGUGAUUGAUUCCAGCGCUAGGGCAGGGAUGAUGCAAGGUGAGUCUUGGGAAUCCUAUAGUUACCAAAAUGUAAAGAAAUACUAAGGGUGCCAGCAGGUGGAAAGGACAUGGGGCCAACUUGAAACUGCUCUCAGUGACCAAAGCAAGAACCAUUUCAGUAACAAAAUACUGGAUUAUGAAACAAUGAAAUGGAUACUCAGAAGUCCAUACUGACAUAGAUAAAUGAUUGAAUAAGUAAAUGAUAGAGAAAGGAUAACUCCUUCUUACAGAAGAAUUCCAUUAAUAAAUGAAAAAGGAACGAAGGAAAUAGCAAGUCAUCAGCAGACCACUAGAACAUUAGUAAAAAUGUUAGUAAUUAGUAAAAAUUAGGCAAAAUUCAUAAAAAUUAGGCAGGAUUCAUCUAUAUAUGCUAAAAUGAGUGGGCAAAAGUUUAAAGAGAAAAUAGAUAUUUGCAUAGUCUCAAAAUAUUGUUCCUCAGAUAUUUAUUAUUUACAAAGGGAAAAAGAAUAACUUUAUAGAAGCUACAAACACAGUAGAUACCAGCUUAAUCAAGCGAUCAAGUUUAAUACCACUUGGAUAUGAUAUGGAGGCUGAGUGGUAAAGAAUCCACCUGCAAUGCAAGAGAUAUGAGUUCCGUCCCCGGGUCAGACAGAUCCCCUGGGGAAGAAAAUGGCAACCCACUCCAGGACUCUUGCCUGGGAAAGCCUGUGGACAGAGGAGCCUGGCAGGCUACAGUCCACGGGGUCACAAAAGAGUGGGACACGACCGAGCAACUAAACAACAGUAGGAUGUGCGACCCUGACAUGCUGCACUCAGAGGGGCCCCAGCUCUGUGAUAUCAUCCCUAUCAGUGCACAACCUUCAUCUGAUCAUGUGAAACCACCAAACGAGUGUGGAUGGAGGAGCACUUUACAAAAUAAUUGACUAGUACUCAUCAAGAGUGUCGAGGUCAUGAAACACAGGGAUAAACUGAGGGAAUGUCCCAGACUGGAGGUGGAGAAGGAGACACAACAUCUAAUACAUCUAAUAAUGAAUUGGACUUUGGAACAAAACAGGAGCAUUGGUGGAAACCUGGUAAAAUCUGAAUAAAGUCUGUAAUGUAGUGACUGGUAUUGUAACUGUUAAUUUCCUACCUGUGACCACUGCACCAUCAUUAUGCGAGAUGCUAACAUUAGGGGAAGCUGGGUGAAGAGUAUAAGGCACCUCUGUACUAUCUCUGCAGAUCUUCUGUAAAUAUAAAAUUGUUUGAAAAUUAACAGUUUAAAAUAAAUAAAACGUGUUUAUCCCAAA
This is a long non-coding RNA of Dama dama (fallow deer), 4295 nucleotides long. RefSeq lists it as uncharacterized. The transcript has 2 exons. The record is from RefSeq and is a predicted model, not a curated record. Lineage: Eukaryota; Metazoa; Chordata; Mammalia; Artiodactyla; Cervidae.